UACGAAGGGGGCUAGCGUUGCUCGGAAUUACUGGGCGUAAAGGGCGCGUAGGCGGACAGUUUAGUCAGAGGUGAAAGCCCAGGGCUCAACCUUGGAAUUGCCUUUGAUACUGGCUGUCUUGAGUUCGGGAGAGGUGAGUGGAAUGCCGAGUGUAGAGGUGAAAUGCGUAGAUAUCGGGAGGAACACCUGAGGCGAAGGCGGGCUACUGGGCCGAUACUGACGCUGAUGCGCGAAAGCCAGGGGAGCAAACGGG
RNAcentral lists this ribosomal RNA (253 nucleotides) under uncultured bacterium. Its description in RNAcentral is "partial 16S ribosomal RNA". It matches the Rfam family "Bacterial small subunit ribosomal RNA", at positions 524 to 776 of the family's 1533-position model. The record is from RNAcentral.